RNAcentral lists this ribosomal RNA (327 nucleotides) under uncultured eukaryote. RNAcentral's name for it is "partial 18S ribosomal RNA". It matches the Rfam family "Eukaryotic small subunit ribosomal RNA", at positions 1470 to 1796 of the family's 1831-position model. The record is from RNAcentral.
CCCCUAGAUGUUCUCGGCCGCACACGCGCUACACUGAAAGAGGCAACGUGUUUGCCUGAUUCGAAAGAAUUGGGUAACCCCCUAAUCUCUUUCGUGCUGGGGAUUGAGGUUUGCAAUUAUCCUUCAUGAACGAGGAAUUCCCAGUAAGUGCGAGUCAUUAUCUCGCGCUGACUACGUCCCUGCCCUUUGUACACACCGCCCGUCGCUACUACCGAUUGAAUGAUUUAGUGAGGACUUCGGACUGAGUCCAAUGCGGCUUUCGGGCUGCGUUGGUAUUUCGGAAAGAUGUCCAAACUGUAUCAUUUAGAGGAAGUAAAAGUCGUAACA